This 480-nucleotide ribosomal RNA is filed under the name uncultured bacterium. RNAcentral describes it as "bacterial SSU rRNA". It matches the Rfam family "Bacterial small subunit ribosomal RNA", at positions 387 to 882 of the family's 1533-position model. The record is from RNAcentral.
ACCAGCAACGCCGCGUGCGCGAUGAAGGCCUUCGGGUUGUAAAGCGCUUUUUGAGGGGAAGAGGAAGGACGGUACCCUCAGAAUAAGUCUCGGCUAACUACGUGCCAGCAGCCGCGGUAACACGUAGGAGACGAGCGUUAUCCGGAUUUACUGGGCGUAAAGCGCGUGCAGGCGGUUCGGCAAGUUGGAUGUGAAAGCUCCCGGCUUAACUGGGAGAGGUCGUUCAAUACUACCGGACUUGAGAGUGGUAGAGGGAGGUGGAAUUCCGGGUGUAGUGGUGAAAUGCGUAGAUAUCCGGAGGAACACCAGUGGCGAAAGCGGCCUCCUGGACCACUUCUGACGCUCAGACGCGAAAGCUAGGGUAGCGAACGGGAUUAGAGACCCCGGUAGUCCUAGCCGUAAACGAUGUAGACUUGGCGUUGGUGGGUUCAAAUCCAUCAGUGCCGAAGCUAACGCGAUAAGUCUACCGCCUGGGGACUA